AUGGUAGUUCUAUAUUUAGUUUUUAAAGGAAUCUCCAUACUGUUCUCCAUGGUGGCUGCGCCACUGUCCAUUCCCUCCAACAGUGUAGGAGGGUUCCCUUUUCCCCACAGCUUCUCCAGCAUUUAUUGUUUGUAGACUUUCUGUCCAUGACCAUUCUGACUGGUGUGAGGUGAUACCUCAUUAUAGUUUUGAUUUGCAUUUCUCUAAUAAUGAGUGAUUUGAGCAUCUUUUCAUGUGUGUUUUGGCCAUCUGCCUGUCUUUGGAAAAAUGUCUAUUUAGAUAUUCUGCCCAUUUUUUGAAUUUUUUUACAUAUAUAAAUCUAUAUGAGAUGUUUGUAUAGUUUGGAGAUUAGUCCUUGUCAGUCACUUCAUUUGCAAAUAUUUUCUCCCAUUCUGUGGAUUGUCUUUUCGUUUUACUGAUAUUUCCUUUGCUGUUCAAAAGCUUUUAAGUUUAAUUAGGUCUCAUUUGUUUAUUUUUGCUGUUAUUUUUUUUUUUAGUUUUUUUAUGUAAUUGGUUUUUAAUCUGUUAAGUCAUUCUUUUUUUUUUUUUUUUUUUUUUUUUUUUAUUUGUUUUUUUUUUUUUUUUUGUCUUUUUAACUAUUUCUUGGGCCGCUCCUGCAGCAUAUGGAGGUUCCCAGGCUAGGGGUCAAAUCAGAGCUGUAGCCACCAGCCUACGCCAGCGCCACAGCAACACGGGAUCUGAGUCAUGUCUGCAACCUAUACCACAGCUCACGGCAACGCUGGAUCGUCAACCCACUGAGCAAGGGAAGGGACCGAACCCGCAACCUCAUGGUUCCUAGUCGGAUUUGUUAACCACUGCGCCACGACGGGAACUCCUAUUUUUGCUGUUAUUUUUAUUAUUCUCAGAAGGGAUCAAAAAUAAUAUUGCCGUGAUUGAUCUCAGAGUGUUCUGCCUGUAGGAGAACUGCACGAGUUUUACAGUAUCGACGUUCCUACCAAGAUGUCUUUAAUCCACUUUGCGUUUACUUUUGAGUGUGGUGUAAGAGACUGUUCUAAUUUCAUUCUUUACAUGUAGCUGUCCAGUGUUCCCUUCUGCGCGGUGUAUUUUUGCCUCCUUUGUUGUAGAUUAGUUCACGGUAGGUGUGCGGGUUUAUUUCUGUUGCGUUUCAACCUAUUUGCCCGUUUAUGGUUUUCACAGCCCAUACAUCCUUCUAGGCUCAUUGCCCAACUCCCUGCAGGGCAGUUUCUACAUUGUUCCGUGGAUUUAGAGAAUUCCACCUCUCUCAAAAUUCUUCUAUACUCCUAAUUGUAGUUGUUAUAAACAUUCUAAGUUCGCCACUUACCUUAGUAGCACAAAAGCCCUGAGCCUUUUCCUCAUAUGUUGCUCCAUCUUUUUUAGAUAUUUCAUGCUUCUACUUCCUUUAAGACCAGCCGUCAUUGGAUUCUGUGUGUCAGCUCUCACUUGAUUUUCAUGGAUCCUUUUCAGUCAGUCUUUAGUUUUGUGUAAUGCUUCUGCUAUUCCAUAUAUUCCCCUCAAACCCUGGGUCUUCUAGCCUAGGAUCUCUUUUUCUUCCUGAAACAAAUAUAAUAUGUACCCCCUAAUAAAACUUUAAAAAAAUAAAAGCUUUUUUUUUUUGGCUGCACCAUGGUGCACAGAAGUCCCCAGGCCUGGGAUCAAACCUGAGGCACAGCAGUGACAAUGCUGAAUCCUUAACCACUAGGCCACCAGGGAACUCCUUAAAAUGAAAAGUUUUAAGUAACAUGUUAAUAAAUCGGAAACUGUAUCCUUAGCCGGGAUCUCUUUGAUAAGACCCGGCUUAAGUAUGUUCAAGGCCUUUCCAUUCGGAUUAAUGAGAGCCACCAGAGCGUCCGUUUUCACAACCGAACGCGUUCCGACCAAACUCUGCUGCUGUUCCUUACCGCAGUAUACACCACACCCUGACCCGUCUGACUGAGCGUCCCAUCGUCUUGAGAAUAACCCACAUCCUCUCUCAAGUACGGGGCGCUACGUCAUCAUAUUCUGCUCGGUCGUCACAGUUGAGUGCUUCCGCCCUCAUCCCCGCCGCCGCCGCCCUCCGCCCAGGGUGCCAGCAGCCUCUCCUCACUGACCUGCCUGCUGCCAAGCAGGCUGCAGAGGGCGGGCGCCCGGCGCACUGCACCCCCCCGAUCUUCUAGAACCUUAGGCUUUUCCGUGGCUCCUGCUGCCUAACAGAGAUGAAGUGGGGUACAGAUCUCUUGAUAAUCGGCAUAUCACUUUAGUGACCAGCAUUUGACAAUUCUGUCUUACUUUCCUUCCGGAGUUCCUUCCCGGUGGCCUGGCAGCCCUACCUGGCACCGUUUGGCUGACCUGGACCAGCAGCUGCCCAGGUUUCACUGAGCGUGCACGUCACUGAAUAAGUAAUUUCUGAUUUAAAUAUUAAAACCAAACUCUGAUUUGUAACAUGAAGUCCUUCGUAGUAUUGAUGCUUCCUAACUUGAGUCACGACUACCCCAGUUUCGUGUUUUCCUCUAUCUCUAGCCAAAAAGUAACUUUUUGUGUAAACAUGCCAUAAUGUUGGAUACCUUUAGGCCUUCAGACUUGGUAUCUCUUCUGCCUAGAAGGCCCUUCCCACUUGUCUCUAUCUAGUUAAUUACUACUCAGUUUUAAAAAUUCGAGUCCAGUCAUUUUUUUCUGGAAAGCGUUCCCACACGUGGCCCAUUGCAUGCAAAGACGUUGCCUCUGUCUCCCUGCAGAAGCUCGCACACACUUGUUCAUAGCGUGAGGCACAGACCCCGCGUCACCAUUGGUGACAGGCUUACCUGUCCUCCNUUUUUUUUUUUUUUUUUUUUUUUUUUGCUUUUUAGGGCUGCAUCCAAGGCAUUAGGAGGUUCCCAGGCUAGGGUUAAAUCUGAGCCACAGCUGUCGGCCUAUACCACAGGCACAGCAAUGCGGGAUCUGAGCCACCUCUGUGACCUACACCACAGCUCACGGCAAUGCCGGAUCCUUAACCCACUGAGCGAGGCCGGGGAUGGAACCCAGAUCCUCAUGGAUCCUAGUCAGGGUCGUUAACUGCGGAGCCAUGGAGGGAACGCCCUAGAGUCUUUUCUUGAGCAGGAGCAGGAGAGGAGCACAAAGGCUGAGCCUCAUUCGUGAUUACGUAUCAAGCGCUGCAUUUGCUCGGCUCCUUCCACGUGGUUAAUGCUCAGUACCUUGCUCAAAUGAAUGAGUUUUCAUUGACUUAGGAAUUCCAGAAGUUUAACAGCAAAGAUGGGGAAAGCGCAGAUAAAGCAGAAGAUAACAGAGAGAAGAGAGGAACAGAGUUGGAGGAGAGGCAGUGGGAGAAAGACGGAGGGCAAAGGGGCGAAGCCAGGACGUGGUCGUGGGCGCACCGUGCGCUCUGUUCGCUCUAGUUUCUCUGCAGCGGUUUAAGGGCCAAGUAAUUCUUGCCAGAAGACUCGAGCUUGAGUCCGUCUACGCCACCGCCUGGUCCUCGCCCUCCUCCCAGUCUCUGCUUUUGAGGAAGAAGGACUCCCUGGUCCAAGGACAGUCGUUCCAUGAUGCUGGCUGAGGAAGGCUUGUUGGCGUCAGGGGCUAGGGGACUGUGCUUCAUGAGGCAAGAUCAAAAUCAAUUCUGAAAUUUCCUUCUUCUAUUUUUGAUCCGGCGACUUCUGUUUUAACAUUGCAACCAAAAUUGCUCCCCUGGGGUGCUUCCUUUGAUGAAGACAACCAACAAACAGCAAAGUAUUCUUUGUCUGCAGUGACCGAACCAAAUAAUAAUACAGCCGGACCUGUCUGAGCUCCUGGAAAAGGACGGGUCGGGUGUGGCAGAGAAAACCUCGGAUGCUGGCACAGGGACUCCAUGCAAAUCGUUCUCCUAAAUCCUCUUAUGUGACUGUCUCAUGAAGUAUGUUCACAGGCGCCCUCUAGAGUCUCAUCCUAUUGGUACCAUCGCUUUUAUUUUAGAUCGACAGGUGCCUGCAUCCCAUCCUCUCUCAGAGGUGGACACUGUGGUGGUUCCCCUCAGCCGCUACCAUCUGGGAGGCCGGCUGCAGUUGAAUUGUCUCUAUUUUAAGAGCCACCUCCGUGUCACAGGGCUGCGAGCCCCCACCCCACCCUCCUGUGAGGGGCCGGAUGGUCCGGUCUGGUCACAUCUGGGGAACGUGCUGCAUUAAGAGCUCUCUGUGUUGCAUGAUUAUCCACAGAAUUCGCCACGUAGCCUCGUGCGAUCCAAGAAACAGCAGUCCUGGCUGCAGGCCCGGCCGAAGCCGUCCCUUCAUCAGCUCUGCUUCGUUCAGGGGCUGGUCCGGGGCCUUCCUCUGAGUGCCCCUGCCGCAGCAGACUCAGUAUCUGAAAGCUCGCACGUUCGGGGACUCAGCAAAGGCCACUUUCCCCAGGUCAUCACGCAGGAGUCCCGGCGCUUCCCUGUCCCGAGACAAGGACAGCAUUGACCCCUGCGGUCCUUUGUGACCUGGGAGUGAAGGACGCAGGUCGCUGAGCUGAGCGCACAGGCUCAGGGAGACAGCGCAACAGCAGCCACUUUGCAGGCAGCCGCUCUGGUCCAAAGUGCCAGGACACAGCCAGCGAAAAGAGAAGCAGGUCCCCCACCCCCACAGGCGGAGGAAUAAGGAGCGGCUUGGACUUUGGGGCCUUUUGCAGAAAAGCUCCAGCAGCUUCCUGCUGCAGAACUCGCUGCCCUCAGGCCCAGACUUUGAACAGCAGGGACUGCCUGAAGCCCCUCCAGUGCUGGGCUCAGGGAGGCACAGAUGUCCCCCGGGUUAGGCCCUAAGCUCAGAAGAGAGCCCUGGGAGAAGACCAGGCUGGGCACAGGCCAGUUUGUGUCUUCAGUCUGCAGGUUUAAUUUGAUACAGAGACAUCUAUGGACACUUAGAGAUGACAGGGUGGGGACAGCGUGUUUCCUCGGGUCCCCAAGCGCAGUGAAGAAAACCAGCCCAUUCAAACACAAUACCAGAGAGAGGCACUUGCUUAUAAACAAGACAGGCCUUGUGUGGAUGUUGCUUAAACAAUUUCCAUUCUGUGAAAAUGUUCUCCACUGACACAAAAGGACAAAUGCCCCCAAUCGCCAGGCCCGCAUCUCUACAGAAUCCAGGAUUCUGUUGCUGGAGGCAGAGGGGCCUGCCCAUCUCACACGCCAUGAGAGGGACCAGGGAGAAAAGCAGGGGCGAGUGUCAUCCCCAUCAAAAUCCUGGCUGGGUGUUUUCAUGUGUUGAUUUCUAAUUUUAUGUAAAAAUGCAGAAGAUGUAGAAAAGCCAGAACAGUUUUGAAAAAGAAGUUGGAAGAUGUACACAACUUGACUUCAAGAUACAAUUUGAGAUGGAUCACAGACCUCAGGGGAAAGUCAUAACCAAAAACCUUGCAAGAGGAAACAGCAGAAUAUCUUCACAGCCUUGGGACAGAAGAGAAUUCUUGGACAGAACACAAAAAGCACGAACCGUAAAAGGAAAAUUAUUCAGUUAGGCUUGAUCGAAAUUGGAGCUGUCCACCAAUCCAAACACCACUUAAAAGCUAAAAGAUAAAGCCACCAGCCAAGGCGGAGAGAAAAUAUUUGCAAAACACUUAGCUAACAAAGAACUUGCACAGACUAUAAAAAGAAUCCCCAGACAUCAACAAAAAGCCCAAUUUUUAAAAAUAGGCAAAAGCCUUGAACAGAUACUUCAGAAAAGAACCUCAGCACUUUACUGAUCAACUCGUGAAGAAGUGCUCAGUAUCUUCGAGCAACAGAGAAAAAUGCACGUUGAAAUCGCAGAGAUGUCAUUUCACAAAAAUGGUAACACUAAUGAACAGAACACAGUGGCUACAGUAAAAGUCUCGUCAUACCAAACACUGACGAGGCUGUAACUCAGCUGCAACCCCGUGCGUGGCUGCUGCGCGUCUAAAAUGUACCGGCCACUUUGAAGGUAUGUCUGGCACCUGAUUAAAUUUACGUCUUACCCUUUGACCAAACAGUUCCACUCAGGCAUUUAUCCAAGAGAAAGCGCGUUCACAAAAGAUUCAAACGUUAGCAGCCCAGUUCAUAAUAGCCCCCAGUGGGAACCAACCUAAAUGUCUAUAAACAGUGAUGCGGCUAAACAAAUGAUUGCAUGUUCCCACAGGAGAAUAUUUCUCACAACAUAGAAGAGAACAAACCACCGGUACAUGCAAUACCAUGGACACAUCUCAAAGACGGAAGCCAGACAGAGAAGAGAAUCUACAACGUAAUUCCACUUGAAAUCCAGACCAAACUAAUCUAUGGUGAUAGAAAUAAAAAGGUGGCCAGCUGGGGAGAUGGCAGGGAGACUCCCCGGAAAGUAACCCCAAGGAACUUUCUGGGGUGCUAAGAAAUGUUUGCUGUCUUUUCCCAGAUGGUAUUUACACAGGCCUAUACAAUUAUCAGACUCAUCAAACUGAACACCUAAAGUCUCUGCUACUGUAUGUUUAUUACACCUAAAUUAACCGGGAACCACCAAAGCGGCAACAAGUGGCCCCCCUCACUGUUAAAGAGGGGCUUUUUCUUCAUCACAGGGGAGGCUGGACUGGGUGGUCCUUGGGUUUCCUCCAGAGUCUCUGAAACCAGAACUGAACAUAAACUCUUGAGCUGCUGGCACUGUGGUAGGAUUGACUCUGGGAACUUCUGGGAGUUAAGGGCUUGCUCCGUGUCAAAAAGAGCUGGGUCACCAUCUCGUGGGCUGCCUCAGUCUCCCCCUUUUCCCACUCUAAACCCGUGGACAUGUUUUCUCAUUUCCUUCUGACACCCUCCACCUUACCGACCAGGAAUCCGGCUCUGGAAGGCUGGGCAGCACGCUCGGCCUCGGCCCCACGUCCAGACGUCCCGUCCCCUGCUUUUAAUUGGAGCCACACCAGCACCGGGAAUGCCCUCCCCUUGCAGUGUCUCCCAAACCCAGCCUCCAGUGCGUGCCUCCAACGAGCAAAGCCUAAGCCACAUCUGAAUCUCUGGCCGAAGUUUAUUUGGGACAGUGGGCAUUUUCAAUAUUCAGCAGUUUUUCACUUUCCAGCCUCUGCCACCUAGGAUGUCAU
Molecule: long non-coding RNA, 6972 nt
Filed under: Sus scrofa (pig)
Lineage: Eukaryota; Metazoa; Chordata; Mammalia; Artiodactyla; Suidae
Description: lncRNA (ENSSSCG00030025989.1)
Source: RNAcentral